UACGUAGGCGGAAAAUUAAGUCAGUAGUGAAAUCCCACAGCUUAACUGUGGAACUGUUAUUGAUACUGGUUUUCUUGAAUAUAGUUGAGGUAGGCGGAAUGUGUAAUGUAGCGGUGAAAUGCUUAGAUAUUACACAGAACACCGAUUGCGAAGGCAGCUUACUAAGCUAUGAUUGACGCUGAGGUACGAAAGCGUGGGGAGCGAACAGGAUUAGAUACCCUGGAGUCC
This 228-nucleotide ribosomal RNA is filed under the name uncultured bacterium. RNAcentral describes it as "partial 16S ribosomal RNA". It matches the Rfam family "Bacterial small subunit ribosomal RNA", at positions 568 to 796 of the family's 1533-position model. The record is from RNAcentral.